RNAcentral lists this ribosomal RNA (497 nucleotides) under uncultured bacterium. RNAcentral describes it as "partial 16S ribosomal RNA". It matches the Rfam family "Bacterial small subunit ribosomal RNA", at positions 28 to 507 of the family's 1533-position model. The record is from RNAcentral.
GAUGAACGCUGGCGGCGUGCCUAAUACAUGCAAGUCGAGCGAACGGACGAGAAGCUUGCUUCUCUGAUGUUAGCGGCGGACGGGUGAGUAACACGUGGAUAACCUACCUAUAAGACUGGGAUAACUUCGGGAAACCGGAGCUAAUACCGGAUAAUAUUUUGAACCGCAUGGUUCAAAAGUGAAAGACGGUCUUGCUGUCACUUAUAGAUGGAUCCGCGCUGCAUUAGCUAGUUGGUAAGGUAACGGCUUACCAAGGCAACGAUGCAUAGCCGACCUGAGAGGGGGAUAGGCCACACGGGAAGGGAGACACGGACAAGACGCCUAAGAGAGGCAGCAGUAGGGAAUCUGCCGCAAUGGGCGAAAGCAUGACGGAGCAAGGCCGCGUGAGUGAUGAAGGUCUUCGGAGCGUAAAAAUCUGUUAUGAGGGAAGAACAGAUGUGUAAGGAAAUGUGCACAGCGUGACGGUACCGAAUCAGAAAGCCACGGCUAACUACGUG